AGAUGUGAGGGCGAUCUGGCUGCUACAUCUGUCACCCCACUGAUCGCCAGGGUUGAUUCGGCUGGUCUGGCUGGCUGGGCAGGGGUCCCCUUCCUCCCUCACGGCUCCAUGUGCGCCCCUCCCCAAGCUGCGCCGCCCAGUCAAAGAGGACGACCUUCCCGAAUAGAGGAGGACCCGUCCUCCUCCGUCAAGGGUAUGUGAGUAGCUGUGCCCCCUGCUAGAACCUCCAAACAAGCUCUCAAGGUCUAUUUGCAGGAGAACGUAGGGUGGUCAAGCUUCCAAGACUCCAGACACAUCCAAAUGAGGCGCUGCACGUGGAAGUCUGCUUUUCUAA
RNAcentral lists this small nuclear RNA (334 nucleotides) under Jaculus jaculus (lesser Egyptian jerboa). RNAcentral's name for it is "7SK RNA (ENSJJAG00000007486.1)". It matches the Rfam family "7SK RNA". Rfam says of the family: 7SK was discovered as an abundant small nuclear RNA in the mid-70s but a possible function has only recently been suggested. Two independent studies have found that 7SK RNA binds the CDK9/cyclin T complex (known as elongation factor P-TEFb). P-TEFb activates transcription by phosphorylating the C-terminal domain of RNA polymerase II. The record is from Rfam by way of RNAcentral. Lineage: Eukaryota; Metazoa; Chordata; Mammalia; Rodentia; Dipodidae.